Molecule: transfer RNA, 72 nt
Filed under: Notorynchus cepedianus (broadnose sevengill shark)
Lineage: Eukaryota; Metazoa; Chordata; Chondrichthyes; Hexanchiformes; Hexanchidae
Description: tRNA-Gln
Rfam family: tRNA (bases 10-72)
About the family: Transfer RNA (tRNA) molecules are approximately 80 nucleotides in length. Their secondary structure includes four short double-helical elements and three loops (D, anti-codon, and T loops).
Source: RNAcentral
GACUUUACUUAGGAAAUAGUAUAAUUGGAAAUACUAAGGGUUUUGAUCUCUUGAAUAUAGGUUCAAGUCCUA